This is a non-coding RNA of Labrus bergylta (ballan wrasse), 584 nucleotides long. NCBI's taxonomy places the organism in Eukaryota, Metazoa, Chordata, Actinopteri, Labriformes, Labridae. The record is from RefSeq and is a predicted model, not a curated record.
UGGUUGUUGUUUGCACUCUGUCAUUAAUUAAUUAGAUUGAAUUCACCUGCCUACUCCUGAUUUAAGACUGCACUCCCUUACACUCAUGUUUUCAUCCUCACAUGGGGCGGCAGUUCAGCAAUGGUGUGUGCAGGUAAAAUGCAUUGAUUUUAAGCUUUACCACUAACCACCAGAGGGCGGCCUUUCUACAUAAAGUGAUGUAUAAACGGAGGAUCCCCCGUCGGUGGCCGUCUUCCUGCUCAGGUUGGAGACUCAAAGGUAUCGUUUGACAACAGAUUGAAUUCACCUGCCUACUCCUGAUUUAAGACUGCACUCCCUGACACUCAUGUUUUCAUCCUCACAUGGGGCGGCAGUUCAGUGAUGGUAAAAUGCAUUGAUUUUAAACUUUACCACUAACCACCAGAGGGCGCCCUUUCUACAUGAAGUGAUAUAUAAACGGAGGAUCCCUCGUCGGUGGCCGUCUUCCUGCUCAGGUUGGAGACUCAAAGGUUUGUUAAUGUUGUUUAAUUAUGUUCCAGGUUUUAGGUCUUAUAGAUGUUUAGACUCAGUUAUUUUAAUCAUUUGACUUCAUCCUUUUUUAAUCA